RNAcentral lists this long non-coding RNA (12225 nucleotides) under Durio zibethinus. RNAcentral describes it as "long non-coding RNA (DZIB_LNC002430)". Lineage: Eukaryota; Viridiplantae; Streptophyta; Magnoliopsida; Malvales; Malvaceae. The record is from RNAcentral.
GGCACCACAGUUUGUAUUUACAUCUCCAUAGAAAUGAAUAUUUCCAUCACUGUAGACACCGGUUUUGUCCGGGUCUACUACCAUUUUUUAUAUAUAUAUAUAUAUAUUAAUAUUUAUAAUAAUAAAUAAAAAAAUUAAAAAUUAAAAAAAGAAGCAGAAAAAAUUAUAAAAUAAUAAAAUAAAAGACAAAGUCAAAAAAACAGGGGGGUUGGUGCGGCGCCGCUGCCGCCCCCUGGCAGCCACCCGACCAGCCCCCAACCAACUCUCCUAGCCACCCUACUAGCCACCUGCUACCCACCUCAUACCAAUUCCCUUUUAAACCCGAAAAAAAUCGACAGAACAGAGGUAAAAAAAGGAGGAGAUCCUCAACCUCGUUCAAAAGAAAAAAAAAAACAAAAAAAACAGAAACAAAAAAAAAACACAACAGAAACAGAAAACAAAAAACACAGUCCUCGCCUAUUCGGCGAGGAACCCAGCGCCAAAAAGCCACCUGCAAAAGCAAAAAAGGAAAAAUCGUUAGUAUUUCAACAAAAAAAAAAAAAAGAGAGAGAGAAGAAAAACCGAAACUUUGAACCUCGAUCUACGCCGAUCGGGGUUGCUUUUGGCAGAACGGACAACGGAUCUGGGAUCAGGAGGCUGAACAGAACCUCCUGUCCCCUUUUCAAAUUUCUGACCACCGUCGGCGACGGCCCCCACGGCGGCCGGUGAGGCGGCCGGCGACCACGCGGCGGCCGGACGGCAUCCCUCUCCCCUGCUCUCUCUCUCUUCCCUCUCUCCCUUUUUUUUUCUGAAAACCAACCCAACUAACCAAAAAAAAUUUUCUGACCUUUUUAUAUAAACAGCCAAAAUCAAAACGACGUCGUUUCAUUAAAGCCUCAAAACGACGUCGUUUUGAUCCAGAGGAUCCGCGCGUCAACCCGCGACCCGACCCGGGGUCGCGUGCCUGACCCGCGACCCGUUUCUUCUUCAGCCUCUGACCGGUCUGACUGGACCGGUACCGAACCGCCCAAACCAAGUCGAACCGCCAGUGAACCGGAUCGAACCGCCCAGACCGCCCGAACCGCCGAACCGGUCGGACCGCCCUGACCAGCGUUGACCGGACCGUUGACCGGUCCGGUUCAGGUAAAAAAAAUUUUUUUUUUUUGAAUUUUCUAAUAUUUUUUAUUAUUAUUUUGUUAUUUUUAAAUAUAUUUUUACGUGAUAAAUUUAUAAAUUUGUUAGAAUAAAUGUUUAAUUAUUUUUAUAAUAAUAAAAUUAAAAACAAAUAAUAAUUAAAAAUAUAUUAAAAUGCUUAAAAAAAAUUAAUUUUUGUUAUUUUCCCUGCCUAGAUGUUGGAGGGAAUAAAAAAUAUUUUUUUUCUAAAAAAUAAUUCGGCCUAGAUGUUGGGGAAUUAUUAUUAAUAAAUUUUAAUAAAAAUAAAUAUAAGAAAAUUUUAAAUUAAUUUUCAAAAAUCAUUAAAAUCGAACUUGCUUCGAAAAUCUGCCUAGAUGAUGGGGAUUUUAGAGAUGUUCGUAUUUUCUUAAAAAUGAAACCUUAAGCACUAUUUCUUAAUUUCCAAAAUCCUAGGUUUCUAAAACCCCUAAAAAUCCAAAAUCCAUUAAAUCCAAAAUCUUUGAAACCUAAAAUUCUAAAAAAAAAAAUCCCAAGAACUCGUGUGAAAAUUCUAUUCGAAGCAAUUUGUUUCCGAAUGCCGCCUAGAUGAUGGGGUAUUUAGGAAAUUUUACUUCGCGAAAUCUUUUCACACGAUUUCUUAAUUCACAUUAAUAAUAAGAUUAAUAAAUUAAAAAAAAAUAUAAUAAAAUUGAGAUCCUGAAUAUAAGCUCUGCCUAGAUGUUGGGAGUUAGGGUGGUCCCAUUAUAUUUAAGAAUCCAAUCUUUUGCAUUUCAUUUUACAUGGACAUGCAUUAACAUGAUAUAUAUUAGCAUGUUAUCAUUGAUAAUUGAUUGCAUUAUUCUUUUUUUUAAUUUAUUGAUAAAAUAUUUAUAAAAAAAAUGAUACUAAAAAAAAAUCUUUCGUGAUAUUACAAAAUAAAACAAAAAUAAUAUUUCGAAAGAAAUAAUUUUUGGUUACUCUGCCUAGAUGUUGGAGAGUCACUAAUAAUUAUUUUCUAUAAAGAUUGCUAUUUUAUUUUAAGGAUUAUUGUGUUAAAUCUUAUGCGAGAAGAGUUAUUUUAAAUUCUGCCUAGACGAUGGAGAAUUUUAAGAUAAUUCUUUAACUUAAAGAUUUUCUCAAUAUUUCUAAAUAAAAAUUUUAACAAAAAUAUUUUUAAAUAAAGGGAAUUAAUGUUAAAUUUCAAAUUAAAACCAUUUUUAUCCAACGUCAAAAAUAGCGCAUAAUUAAAUGGUACCAAUUUAUGGGCGUUGUGGGGGUGCUAAUCCUUCCCCACACGUAACCGACUCCCGGACCCAACCUGGUUUUUCGUAGACCAAAAUCUAUCUUUUUGAUAAAUUUUAAACCCGUUUUAAAGUUUUAUUAAAAAGAUAAACAUAUGGGUGGCCAAUCACACCCUAACAAAGAUUGGUGGCGACUCCCUUUUAAUUUUUUUUUUCUCGAUUUUAAAACACCUCAUUUUUACGUCUGGCGGUCCCCAAAACCAUUACGACAGCUUGGCGACUCCGCUGGGGACUUAUUGAGAGUCAGGCCAAAAUUUUAAUUAUGCGCUAUUGAUGAUGGUUGAAUUUAAUUGAUUUUAUUUGAUAUUUAAUUUAAUUUCUUUUAUUUUUCGAAAACAUUCGAGCUAAUAAAUAAAAUAAAUUGUAUGAUAGUUAUUAAUUUAUUUUGAUUUUGUGGUUAUGAUUUAUUCAUGUUAUUUUGAUUUCUUUACACACACUUUGCAUAUUUACUUGUAUGCAUGAGCUCUAGACCCGGGCUCCAUCCCUUUUAGGAGGAAGUGAAGUAGCUACGCUCUCGUGAGGUGAUAACCUCCGCAUUUGCUAGCAAAACACUUCCACUCAGAUUGAACCCUUUCCGUUAGUAGCCUAUAAUGGGCGAGGAUCGGGGAACCUUACUAGUCUAUAAUGGACGAUGAUGUGAGGAAUAGUCUGGGAACCUUUAGACGCAUAAACUUUAACCCAGCAUAUCGUAAGCUAUGUGAACCUUACCGAUCUUUUUAUGGGAAUAACCAGAAAUGGUUGAUAAAAGAAAAGCAUUUCCUAAAAAAAAAAAAAAUUUUUCUCUUUACAUGCAGUUCAUUCAUUUGGUAAUUGUUCAAAUUUUAUAAUUUCAUAAAACAUUUUAGAAUAAAGUGAUUUUUUUUUAAAGCAUUAUCCAACAAACAAAACAAAAAAACAAAAAGGUUUUCAGAAAGAUUAAAGAUUUUUCUUAAAUUGGCCCAAUCAAAAAUUAAUUUUCAUAUCCUAGUUAUUUUGUUUUUCCUUUUUAAAAUUUUUAUUUUGUUUCAUCUUUUGCAUUUCAUACAUCAUAAAAAUAAUACAUGUAUCCCAUCCCAUAUACAUCAUUAAAGGUAGUGUCAUUAGGAUGACACAACACAAGCAUUACAUAUCAUGUAAAAAUAUAAUGAGCACUUGAUAGGUUCAUGCAUUUCAUACAAGUAUGCUGCAUUAGUUAUAAGAAUACAUUUCACCGUUCAUGUAAAUAUGUCGUUACAUUUCAUACAUAUAGAUUCAUAAGGUCGUAUGGAACAAACGUUACAUUUCAUAUCCCGCUAUCCCUGCAACAUAAUAUUUCUUGCAUACACAUUCAUGGUUGAUGAAAAUUUUUAUUUGGGUCUUUGUACAUAUAAAAAUUCAUCGUCAUAAGUAUAUAUGCAUUCCGUGACAUUCUCAUAUUCAUGUAUUCAUAAACAUACUUUGUGUGUUUUUGUUUUUGUGAUAUUCAUUCAAUAAAGUAAUAGUCUAGAAUUUUUUGUCUAAGUCCCGAAAUAAAAUGACUGUCUUGGUGGGGUUCAGAGUGACGAAAAUGGGAGAUCAAUUGGAAGCAAGAUUUAGUACUUUGGAGUUGAAUCAAGAGGAAUUAUGGCUUGAGCUUCGAGAGAUGAAACAACAGAUGGCUCAAUUAAUAGAAAUGGUUAGAGGUAGUGAUGGAGUUGAGUUUGUUCCUCCUCAAAAACCGUUGUCAUUACCGUCAAGUCAAGGUCAAUUGGCUCCCGAUAGUUCCAACACUCUGCCAGAGUAUGCUAAAGCAUUGGAUGAUUUGAACAGUGAUCAAAGUUUGGGCGAACUUAAGAGAGGAAUGGGUGAACUAGCCACACAAAUGACUGAACUUAAGAGUUUGAUUUCCAAUAAGGAGUCACCUGGCUUCAAACAACCAUCACCAACUAUCUCAAGUCCUAACCCAUACCUAAAUCCUCCGUAUGACCAUUUUCAACCUCCUUUCCAAGCACCUAGGAUUAGACCCCCAAUUUUCAUGCAACCACUAAGAAUUCCACGCCUGAACCCAUAUCCACCAUCUCAUAUCUCACAAUCAUCUGUUCAGCAUACUAUCCCGUCACUACCUUUUGAACCCAAUCUUCGACCCAGAGUUUCUCAAUUCACCUCGAGACCAAUUAUACCAGCACCUUUUCAGCAAAGUAAACCAACCAUAGGACAGAAAAACUCUGGUAACACCAAAGGAAAAGCCCCUAUUGAUCCAAUACCCAUGUCCUAUACAGAGUUAUACUCGCUGCUCCUAGAGAACUGCCUCAUUGCCCCUAUCCCUGCUGAACCUCGUAAAUCGCCUUUCCCUAAAUGGUAUAACCCUAAUGCCCAAUGUGAAUACCAUUUUGGUGUUGUGGGCCAUUCUCUGGAAGAUUGCACAGCUUUGAAACAUAGGGUGCAAGGAUUGAUGAAAGCCGGAUAUCUGAGUUUUGAUGCCAAGAUGAACCCUUCUUUGAUCCAUGUCGAAAUGGUAGACAGUGUUGCAGAUAAUAGUAAAGUUGGUCAGAUUGAUGAAUAAAAAGCUUUUUAAGCAAAGAGUUAUCCUCUCUAGUAAUCAUAGUCAACUAUUUUUCAGGAAAGACAAAGGGAAGUGGGAGCAUGUUUGGCAUUUUUUGGCCCCAGUCCUAGAAUGGUUCAUGAUGUGUAAACUUGAUGCUUUUGGAAAUGAAUAAAAACUUUUUUUUUUUUUUAACCUAGAUUUUCUAUUAAUUGAUGCAUCUGUUUUUAUUGGCAUGCCUAAAAGAGUGUAAGAAAGAAUGAUGGUUGCAAGUAUAUUUUCACCAAACUUUUGAGACAGAAAGGAUACAUCUAGAUGACUCAUUUUGAAUGGAAUUCAAAUUUUUCCUCACCAAAGUAACAAAAUUUGACUUGCAUAUCAUGCAUCAUUUACUUGAAUUCAUUGUUUUUCAUGCCAGCUAAGGAUAAGGAAUGAUAAUUGUAAAUAUACUUGUCAUAACCUUCGAAGCAAUUUUUAGAAUUCAUGCCAUGCAUUUCUGACUUCUGGUAAUUAAUAAAAGGUUCAAGGAUAGCUAUUCUAAGAAACGAGGUCAGUUGAGUCUGCACACUUAUAUCACUCGAGUCAGUACCAUAACCAUGGAAAAUGAAGGUGCCAGUCGAAUGGACAGAGUAGAAAAGGCUCAAGGAGAGAUCGGUGAAACAGUUACGAGAAUGCAACAAAACAUGAAUAGACAACUGGCAGAAUUAAAACAGAUGAUAGUGGAAUUGACAAAAGAAAAAGAAGUUGUUGAGACGCAGAGGAUAAGGGAGGAAACAGCUAUCGAGACACCAUUGUAUCCAUCUGGUUUCACAUAUGUUCAAGACCCCCAUGUGUCACAAGCACCUCUAACAACCGAUCAACCUUAUGUUGGCCAUUUUGCCAAGUUACCAUCAGUACAGACAAAUGUCAAUCCCGGGCAUACUCCUCACAACUUCACUACUGUGCCCAAUAUGGAUGAUCAUAAAGAAUUGAAGAAAUUGAAAAGGGUGUCAGAUCCAUCAAAAGAUAUAGUGAUGAAAGAUAAGUAUGAUCUAUUGGAAGAGAGAUUGAAAGCAAUUGAAAGCCAUGAUGUGUACAGGAAUGUUGGCGCCAGUGAACUUAGUCUAGUACCUGAUCUUGUUAUUCCACCAAAAUUCAAAGCCCCAAGUUUUGAGAAAUAUGAUGGAACGAAAUGCCCUUUAAUACACAUUACCAUGUACUGUCGAAAGAUGACAGGUUACACCCAUGAUGAUAAAUUGUUGAUCCAUUACUUUCAAGAUAGUCUCACUGGACCUGCAGCAAGAUGGUAUGCUCAGUUAGAUCGAAAUAAGAUUCACUCUUGGAAUGAAUUGGCUAGGGCUUUCCUAGCACAAUACAAGCAUGUUGAAGAUAUGGUGCCAGAUAGGUUGUCCCUGCAGAACAUGAAGAAAAGAUCAACUGAAACGUUCAAAGAAUAUGCAUAUAGAUGGAGAGACAUAGCAGCUCAAGUACAACCACCCUUAUCAGAGAAAGAAAUUACUGUUCUGUUUGUCAAUUCUUUGGACACUCCCUAUUAUGAAAGAAUGAUUGGGAAUCUCUCUAAAAAUUUUUCGGACAUGGUGAUUUCUGGUGAAAUUAUAGAAAAUGCAAUUAAGAGUGGCAGGAUUAAGUUAAAAGAUGUGACAGAUGUUGAAGAAGAAAGUACAUCACAGCAGAAUAAAGAAGAGGUGCAAGCAGUCACAUUGGAAGGGCAUCUACCUAAUAGCUUUAUCCCGUACAAUCCUUAUCUUGCUUAUCAACCCCAUCACCUUGCCAUAAGCCAAAACCCAUAUCUUUACCAACCAAGCCAGCAUUUAAGCUUUCCAGCAAACUCUCAUCCUCAAGUGGUCAUUCAUGAUCUUGUUCCCACAUUUGAAUCCACCAUCCGACCAACAAAAAAUCGGAAGAGACCAAGGAAUGAUCAAGAGAAAUUACCCAUCCCUAUUUCUCACCUUUUACCUUUGCUAAUAAAAGGUCGAUAUCUCACUCCUGUGCCUCUGAAAACACCACCAAAUCCAUCAGCAAGGAGUUACAAUCCCAAUGAUAAGUGUGAUUACCAUAUGGGGGCAAUUGGCCACUCAACAGAAAAAUGUAGGCAGUUGGAAGAAAAGGUUGAAGAUCUUAUCAAGAAUGGUAUUCUGACUCCGGAAGUAAUAGAACAAUGGAAGUUGUUGACUCCAUUCAAUUUUCAAAUGUGAGAAGUUAAGAUGAAGAGGGAGGUGUCAAGUUUUAAAAAUCAGGAUAUGAUGAUUUCUUUUUCUACUAUGUAUGUAGGAUAUGUGCAUUGUGUCUCUAAGAGUUAUUUAAAUUAUUUUGGAAGAAUCGAAUACUUUGGAUCUUUUUCAUGAAAUUUUCUCUUUAUGCAUUUGUUUGGAUAAAAAUCCCACAUAAGUAACUUUCAAAAAAAAAAAAAAAAAAAAAAAAGAAGGAAAAAAAAAAAAAAAAAGUUUUAUUUUGAAGAUGAAAGAAUUCUUAAAGAAAAUGGUGAUUACUGUUAGGAAAAAGCUCAUCAAAUACCUUCACACCUUUUCAAAUACUUUCAUCACUUAAAUGAUUGGAUUCAUCAACCAUAACCUUUCAGGGAAUGUGAGUUUGAGUUCAGACUUUAAAAGGCCGAUAAUCUUUUCCAGGGCAAAGAACAAAGGAGAUUAAUUUUGAAAGUUUGUUUUGAAAAUCAGAUAUUCUUUCAAAAUUUUCCAAUUGAUAGUCCAAUGUGUGUCAAAAUUUUGCUAUGACCACAGAUACAAAAACACUUGAGCCUUUAACCUUUGUUCCAUGUCUUAAGGCACAUUGAAAAAAAAAAAUCCCUUUCUGCCUAAGACAAUUUAUUUCAUACCUUUAUACCUUUUCUUUUCCUUUCACCAAAAAAAAAAUGCCAAAAAAAAAAAAAAUUUUUUAAAGCCCAAAGAGCCUUUUGAGCUAUGCGAUCAAUCAUAUAUGGCUUAAUCGUCGUUAGAACCUUGAGUAAAAAGGAUGGGCAUAAUAAAAAAAAAACAAAAAAAAAACAAAAGGGACAUAUUCAAUGAUUUGCUCUUCUACCUAAGUGAUCAUGUUUGAAAUGAUGAAUGGCCAUCUUUCUCUAUCCUUCUCGUACAUAAAAAUUAUCCAUUUGUUACCCAUUUGAGCCUAUUAAAUUUUUUGUUUCAAAAUAAACCCUAGCCAAGGAUCAUUUUCUACAUUAGGGGGCAAAAUUGGGAUACAUUCAAGAUUAACUUCAAAGAAAGUAUCCGAUAUUGAAAGCGUCUAACAUGCCCUUCGAAGGUGAAAGUCUGGGAUAAAAAGUGAACAAUGCUUUGAUUGAAAUUUCAAGAUCCAAGAAAGUGAACGGCCAAAGAUAAAGUUAAGUAUUUCUAAGGCAAAAUAAAAAAACCUUAGAGAUAAGAAUCUGAAGCUUCACUUAGAAUUCAAAAAAAAAAAAUAUGUACCUUGAAAAUGAGAAUUCAAGGCAAAAAAAGAGGUGCGUGAAGUUGCUGAAAUUAAAGCCAAAUGGGGGAUAAAAGAAGAAAGUCAGAGAGUGCCCAUCAGGAUCCUUGGCCUAAUCACCUUGAAUAAUAUAUUUGAGCCUAUUCAUCCGUUCUUUCAGAACCCUUAACCUUGACCUACAUUACACACCCUGAAAAGCCCAUUUUGUUCAAAUAUGGAUACUUGGAUUGAAGAGCAAUAUCCUUGAAUUUGUAUAUACUUGUUGAAUUUUUCAUUGAUAAAGAAGAAAAAAAAAAAAAAAAAAGCUCUAAGGUGAAAACCCAAAAAGGGCAGUUUAGAGCUAAAGUAAUUUCUUGAGGCCCCAAAAUAAAUUUCAGAGUUUCAAGGUUCUAUCCGAAAUAAAAAGUUUCGAUACAAAACCUUUUGGAAGAUCAGUACCCAUUAAAGACCUUUCUAAAAAAAAAAAAGCCUUAUCUUCUUCUCAAAUCUUGUUUGAAGAGUAAUGACUAGUUUUGACUCACAUUGGAGUAUCAUGUUUUCAAUAAAAAAAAGUGUUUUUUUUUUAAAAAAUUUUUAUCUCUUUUGGGAACCCGAGAGAAAUCCUUGCAAUCCUCGCCGAGCUUUACAUGAGAUAUGCCACCAGUAAAAAAUUUGAAUUGUCAAUUACCUCACCUAUGAGCAUUUCAAAUAGUAAUCAUCAAUUUUCAAGAGAUUCAAAAGUCUUGAGUUUUAAAUCUUUUCAUUCAAUUGUAAAAAUACUUUAUGUGGGAUAAUUUUUGAUCACUUUUAAAAAUUUUUUUUUGAGAUUAUUGAAGCAUUUUGUACAUAAUACUGAGAUCAUUUUUUUGGGUGAAAAUGAAACAAAAAAAUUUAAACAAUAAUAAUAAUAAAUUCACCAAAAAAAAAAAACAAAAAAAGGGGGCAAGAAGAGUCUUUGCAUUUGCAUCGCUUGCAUCUGCAUCACAAGAAAGACAUUCGCAUUUGCAUCACUUGUAUAAGACAUUUGCAUUCACACCAUAAGAAGAAUUUGCAUUUGCAUCAUGCCAUCUGCAUCCUAAGAAAAUGUAUUUGUAGGGGCAUCUACAUGAAAAGGACAUUGUCAUUUGCAUUGUGAAAAAGACAAAUGUAUCAAGCAUUUGCAUUCUUAUGUUGGCAUUAACAUUUGCAUCAACAUCAUUUGAUGAGAAUAGACAUUUGUAUCAUGUUUGUAUUUAUCAACUUUGUAAAUAUUUAAAAAAAUAAAAAAAAAGGCAUGUUUUUAAAAUUUUAAAGCCUCUGUUUAAGAGGAACCAAUUUCAAUCAAGAUUUCAAAGCCUCUGUUUAGAGGGAACCUUCCUCAGAAAAGACCUUUAGAGUCUCAAAAAUCUCUAAUCAGGCGAAAGUCAUAGAUUAAAAAAUUUUUAAAUUUUAAAGUUUCAUCGCCUCUGAUUAUGAGGAGCAUUCAAAGAUUUUGAGAUUUAUAAGACCUCCGGGCAUAAUCUCUAGAAGCCUCUGUGCACGACUUUCAAGAUUAAAAAAUUUUUAAAUUUUAAAGUUUCAUCGCCUCUGAUUAUGAGGAGCAUUCAAAGAUUAUAAGACCUCCGGGCAUAAUCUUUAGAAGUCUUUGCGCAGGACUUUUAAGAUUAAAAAGUUUUUAAAUUUUAAAGUUUCAUCGCCUCUGAUUAUGAGGAGCAUUCAAAGAUUUUGAGAUUUAUAAGACCUCCGGGCAUAAUCUCUAAAAGCCUUUGCGUAGGACUUUUAAGAUUAAAAAAAUUUUUAAAUUUUAAAGUUUCAUCGCCUCUAAUUAUGAGGAGCAUUCAAAGAUUUUAUGAUUUUUAAGACCUCCGGGCAUGAUUUGUAAGACCUCCGGGCAUAAAUUUGAUUCGCGGUGUUAUCCCGAUCAAUUCUAUAAUUUUGACUUACGAUGUUAUCCCAAUCAAUUCUGUAAGACCUCCGGGCAUGAUUUUUAAGACCUCCGGGCAAUUCUGAAAGACCUCUGGGUAUAAAUUUGAUUCGCCGUAUUAUCCUGAUCAAUUCUAUAAUUUUGACUUAUGCUGUUAUCCCAAUCAAUUCUGUAAGACCCCCGGGCAUGAUUUUUAAGACCUCCGGGCAUGAUUUCUAAGACCUCCGGGCAUAAAUUUGAUUCACCGUGUUAUCCUGAUCAAUUUUAUAAUUUUGACUUGCGGUGUUAUCCCAGUCAAUUCUGUAAGACCCCCGGGCAUGAUUUUUAAGACCUCCGGGCAUGAUUUCUAAGACCUCCGGGCAUAAAUUUGAUUCACCGUGUUAUCCUGAUCAAUUUUAUAAUUUUGACUUGCGGUGUUAUCCCAGUCAAUUCUGUAAGACCUCCGGGCAUAAAAUUAAUUCGCUGUGUUAUCCCGAUCAUUUCAUUUAUUUUCUGACUUACGGUUCAGUCCCAGUCAUCUUUAAUCCUUGAUUCACGGUUUAAUCCCAGUCAUUUCAUUUAUUCUCUGACUUGUGGUUUAGUCGCAGUCAUUUUUAAUCCUUAGAUUCGUGGUUUAAUCCCGGUCAUUUCAUUUAUUCUCUGACUUACGGUUCAGUCCCAGUCAACUUUAAUCCUUGAUUCGUGGUUUAAUCCCGGUCAUUUCAUUUAUUCUCUGACUUACGGUUCAGUCCCAGUCAACUUUAAUCCUUGAUUCGCGGUUUAAUCCCGGUUAUUUCAUUUAUUCUCUGACUUGCGGUUCAGUCCCAGUCAUCUUUAAUCCUUGAACUCGUGGUUUAAUCUCGGUCAUUUCAUUUAUUCUCUGACUUGCGGUUCAGUCCCAGUCAACUUUAAUCCUUGAUUCACGGCUUAAUCCCGAUCAUUUCAUUAAUUGCUCGACUUGCGGUUCAGUCCCAGUCACCUUUAUUCCUUGACCAUCAGUGUCAUUCCAAUCAUUGUCUUUAUCAUUCUAUUUUAGGAGUCGCUUUAAUCGAUCCUUUAUUUUUCAACUCGCGGUGUCGCUUUCUUUAUUACCUGAUCUGAUCCUACAAAAAAAAAGGGGUCCAUGAUUUGCUUUCGGACAAAAUCGUUGUCUUUAUCUUUGCCCUAUUCCUGAUUCUCAGUAAUGUGCAAAGAGGGGCAGCUGUAGACACCGGUUUUGUCCGGGUCUACUACCAUUUUAUAUAUAUAUAUAUAUUAAUAUUUAUAAUAAUAAAUAAAAAAAUUAAAAAUUAAAAAAAGAAGCAGAAAAAAUUAAAAAAUAAUAAAAUAAAAGACAAAGUCAAAAAAAUAGGGGGGUUGGUGCGGCGCCGCUGCCGCCCCCUGGCAGCCACCCGACCAGCCCCCAACCAACUCUCCUAGCCACCCUACUAGCCACCUGCUACCCACCUCAUACCAAUUCCCUUUUAAACCCGAAAAAAAUCGACAGAACAGAGGCAAAAAAAGGAGGAGAUCCUCAACCUCGUUCAAAAGAAAAAAAAAACAAAAAAAACAGAAACAAAAAAAAAAACACAACAGAAACAGAAAACAAAAAACACAGUCCUCGCCUAUUCGGCGAGGAACCCAGCGCCAAAAAGCCACCUGCAAAAGCAAAAAAGGAAAAAUCGUUAGUAUUUCAACAACAAAAAAAAAAAGAGAGAGAGAAGAAAAACUGAAACUUUGAACCUCGAUCUACGCCGAUCGGGGUUGCUUUUGGCAGAACGGACAACGGAUCUGGGAUCAGGAGGCUGAACAGAACCUCCUGUCCCCUUUUCAAAUUUCUGACCACCGUCGGCGACGGCCCCCACGGCGGCCGGUGAGGCGGCCGGCGACCACGCGGCGGCCGGACGGCAUCCCUCUCCCCUGCUCUCUCUCUCUUCCCUCUCUCCCUUUUUUUUUCUGAAAACCAACCCAACUAACCAAAAAAAAUUUUCUGACCUUUUUAUAUAAACAGCCAAAAUCAAAACGACGUCGUUUCAUUAAAGCCUCAAAACGACGUCGUUUUGAUCCAGAGGAUCCGCGCGUCAACCCGCGAC